GUCUACGGCCAAACCACCCUGAACGCGCCCGAUCUCGUCUGAUCUCGGAAGAUUAUGAGGUUGUGUUCCAGCCCCAAGUCAUUUUGCUGGCAAGUCAGAUU
Molecule: ribosomal RNA, 101 nt
Filed under: Neogale vison (American mink)
Lineage: Eukaryota; Metazoa; Chordata; Mammalia; Carnivora; Mustelidae
Source: RNAcentral